This 255-nucleotide ribosomal RNA is filed under the name uncultured bacterium. RNAcentral's name for it is "partial 16S ribosomal RNA". It matches the Rfam family "Bacterial small subunit ribosomal RNA", at positions 524 to 776 of the family's 1533-position model. The record is from RNAcentral.
CACGUAGGCACCAAGCGUUGUCCGGAUUUAUUGGGCGUAAAGAGCUCGUAGGCGGUUCAGUAAGUCGGGGUGUGAAAACUCUGGGCUUAACCCAGAGACGCCACCCGAUACUGCUGUGACUUGAGUACGGUAGGGGAGCAGGGAAUUCCUGGUGUAGCGGUGAAAUGCGCAGAUAUCAGGAGGAACAUCGGUGGCGAAGGCGCUGCUCUGGGCCGAAACUGACGCUGAGGAGCGAAAGCGUGGGUAGCAAACAGG